AGAACGAACGCUGGCGGCAUGCCUAACACAUGCAAGUCGAACGAGACCUUCGGGUCUAGUGGCGCACGGGUGCGUAACGCGUGGGAAUCUGCCCUUGGGUUCGGAAUAACAGUUGGAAACGACUGCUAAUACCGGAUGAUGACGUAAGUCCAAAGAUUUAUCGCCCAGGGAUGAGCCCGCGUAGGAUUAGCUAGUUGGUGAGGUAAAGGCUCACCAAGGCGAUGAUCCUUAGCUGGUCUGAGAGGAUGAUCAGCCACACUGGGACUGAGACACGGCCCAGACUCCGUACGGGAGGCAGCAGGUGGGGAAUAUUGGACAAGUGGGACGAAAGCC
Molecule: ribosomal RNA, 333 nt
Filed under: uncultured soil bacterium
Lineage: Bacteria
Description: bacterial SSU rRNA
Rfam family: Bacterial small subunit ribosomal RNA
Source: RNAcentral